CAGUAGUCAACGAGUUUGAUCAUGGCUCAGAUUGAACGCUGGCGGCAUGCUUUACACAUGCAAGUCGAACGGUAACGGGGACUUCGGUCUGCCGACGAGUGGCGAACGGGUGAGUAAUAUAUCGGAACGUGCCCAGUAAUGGGGGAUAGCUCGGCGAAAGCCGGAUUAAUACCGCAUACGCCCUGAGGGGGAAAGUGGGGGAUCUUCGGACCUCACGUUAUUGGAGCGGCCGAUAUCAGAUUAGCUAGUUGGUGGGGUAAAGGCCUACCAAGGCGACGAUCUGUAGCUGGUCUGAGAGGAUGAUCAGCCACACUGGGACUGAGACACGGCCCAGACUCCUACGGGAGGCAGCAGUGGGGAAUUUUGGACAAUGGGCGAAAGCCUGAUCCAGCCAUGCCGCGUGAGUGAAGAAGGCCUGCGGGUUGUAAAGCACUUUCAGUAGGGAAGAUUAUGACGGUACCUACAGAAGAAGCACCGGCUAACUCCGUG
This 489-nucleotide ribosomal RNA is filed under the name uncultured bacterium. Its description in RNAcentral is "bacterial SSU rRNA". It matches the Rfam family "Bacterial small subunit ribosomal RNA", at positions 1 to 507 of the family's 1533-position model. The record is from RNAcentral.